Molecule: long non-coding RNA, 275 nt
Filed under: Phoenix dactylifera (date palm)
Lineage: Eukaryota; Viridiplantae; Streptophyta; Magnoliopsida; Arecales; Arecaceae
Description: long non-coding RNA (PDAC_LNC007792)
Source: RNAcentral
UAGUGUGCAUCAAAUCGCAUGACUUUCUCAGAGUACUAAUACCUCCACCACAACAGGGCACCGCCUGAGUUUUAGGUGCACUACUCAAGUUCAAAAGUUUUUUUCUACAAUUUAUUAGAACCUGAUCCAUCAAAUUUUCAGAAUAUCACAUGUUGUCUAAAUUUGUCAAGAAUGGUUCUCAUGUAAAGAAAGAGCUAUCAAUCUCAACUAAACAACCCGGGUACACAGAGGUCCAAUACAAUGGAGUCAAACCAGCCAUUACCACAUGUCACUAG